CAUCGGAGUAGAAGCAGUCAGGCGCGAUGGGCGUCCGGUCAUUGCUCCACCC
RNAcentral lists this non-coding RNA (52 nucleotides) under unclassified sequences. RNAcentral describes it as "Xanthine-I sequence". It matches the Rfam family "Xanthine riboswitch aptamer (NMT1 RNA)". From Rfam's summary of the family: Later it was reported as a ncRNA that recognised Xanthine. The record is from Rfam by way of RNAcentral.